GAAGGCCUUCGGGUUGUAAAGCUCUUUUGUCAGGGAAGAAACGGUGAGAGCUAAUAUCUCUUGCUAAUGACGGUACCUGAAGAAUAAGCACCGGCUAACUACGUGCCAGCAGCCGCGGUAAUACGUAGGGUGCAAGCGUUAAUCGGAAUUACUGGGCGUAAAGCGUGCGCAGGCGGUUUUGUAAGUCUGAUGUGAAAUCCCCGGGCUCAACCUGGGAAUUGCAUUGGAGACUGCAAGGCUAGAAUCUGGCAGAGGGGGGUAGAAUUCCACGUGUAGCAGUGAAAUGCGUAGAUAUGUGGAGGAACACCGAUGGCGAAGGCAGCCCCCUGGGUCAAGAUUGACGCUCAUGCACGAAAGCGUGGGGAGCAAACAGGAUUAGAUACCCUGGUAGUCCACGCCCUAAACGAUGUCUACUAGUUGUCGGGUCUUAAUUGACUUGGUAACGCAGCUAACGCGUGAAGUAGACCGCCUGGGGAGUACGGUCGCAAGAUUAAAACUCAUAGAGAUUUGAC
RNAcentral lists this ribosomal RNA (512 nucleotides) under Janthinobacterium lividum. RNAcentral's name for it is "bacterial SSU rRNA". It matches the Rfam family "Bacterial small subunit ribosomal RNA", at positions 410 to 914 of the family's 1533-position model. The record is from RNAcentral. Lineage: Bacteria; Pseudomonadati; Pseudomonadota; Betaproteobacteria; Burkholderiales; Oxalobacteraceae.